Molecule: long non-coding RNA, 1643 nt
Organism: Pezoporus flaviventris
Lineage: Eukaryota; Metazoa; Chordata; Aves; Psittaciformes; Psittacidae
Exons: 3
Source: RefSeq, a predicted model, not a curated record
GAAGAGGCAGAAGCAACCUCAGCAGAUUUCAGGAUGUAGUAAUGGAAGUGCUUUCUUCAGCCUCAAAGUUAUUUUAAGAGCUUUCUACUUUAGGUCACUGCCACUCUGCGGUGUGUCUGCAUCACAGUAUUGAAGAGCCUCUGUUACAGUAGCUUGGGUCGUUAAAAUGGUCCAGGUUAAAAAUUCCUCUUGCAGAGGCUUUGAGUGUUUGUUUGGUUUGCUUUGUUUUUAUUGCAGUCAUUUCAUUAUCAACUCUACUUUCUCCAUUGCACAAGUGACAUAUUUGCAAUUAGCUAUGAGUUGCUAGAAGUCAGAAACUCCUUUUCUCCUGGCUUUACUACUGAUCAAAACUGGAUCACCUAUGCAACAAGUACCUUCUUAGCACUUAAGGCUGAGGGGGCCAGUGGGUAUCACUCAGCAGAAUCAUUCCAGGAGCAGCAGCUUGGCGCCAGCGCAAACAUCAUUCAGGCCUUUAACUGUGUCUGAAAUGCCAUUUCUGGCAGAAUCAUUUUCAGGAAGAGGAUUUAGGGAAGUUUUAACUCUUCAGCCUGGUCUGUUUAAGAUUCUUGCAGGUAUAAUAGUACCACUCAGACAUGAUUUGUUGUUAUUUGUCAGGCAUUUACAUCCAUAAAAUCUCUGAUGUGGAUUUAACUGUACCAGUAGAGAAAUAUCUUAAAUAGCAAUACUAACUAUUGUGUUUCUCAUACAUGAAUUGCUCUGUGAAUAUGAUGUACCUUGUUAGGACUUUGUGCUUAAAUAAAUCUGCUGUUGUUUACAGCAGGUCAGGGAAUGCUCUAAGGUGACUAGCUCAUACUGUGCUUAACAGAUGAAACCUUAGUAUGUUUGAAAAAACAGCUUUUCUCAGUAAAUUUUUUUCAGCUGUCUGUUUCUGUCUUCAUCUAUGACUAGACAUAUACAACAGAUAAAAACGUGUGUGCCUGUACCUACAGAUACAUCUUUUAUAUAUGCACACACAUGCAGAUUUGAAAAGCUGUAUAGCACAGUUGCUUUGCAUAACAGGUUUAAUUUUUUCUCACAGGUCAGCCCCUUAAGUGAACCUUGGAAAAACUACUGUGUGAUCAGUCGAUUGCACUGAAGCGGCAGCACCCAUUUGGUAAAGGUUCCCAAAAGCAUGUACGCCGUUCCCUAUAAGUGAAUCUGUGGAAAGACAGAAAAACAAGCAAAGACCUCUGAAUAGAAAACAAACGAGAAAAAAAGAACAUUCAAGAAAACUGAGCCAGUAAACAUGACUGCAUCUGCAAGUGACUAUACAAGAAAAUAGUAAAACUGCUGUCUUAAGGUACUCUUCUGGGCAAUGGCAUUUUUCUUGUCUGUUAUUUAUGUGCUUCUUGCAGACCUAAGACUUGAUACCCUGUUCCUUGGGUAGACACUGAUGUUUCUCUGAACUAACAAGGGAAAAAUAAGGAGGCACUGAAGAUGUUAGUCCAGAUCCAGAUCAGUGGAGACUUUUGGAAAACCACGUUUUUCUCAUGCUCACUGCAGAUGUGGGACAUACAGAUAACCAGGAAAGAAUUGUCUUUUUGGGGAUCCAGAAUUUACUCAGAAGCAAGAUCAUAAGAUUCAGCAUUCCUUUCCAUAUAGCUGAAUUUCUGGUUGUGAACCUCUUCCUCUGAUUAUAAGGA